UGACGCUGUAGAACGUAGGCCCAGCAGAGACUGAACUUCCUAUGGCAACUCAAGUAGCAACAAAGGCGUCCUGUUCAUCUUCUACACAGUCAUUAUUCAGACAGGACCAGACUGCAAUGAAUAAUUAGGUCUGCUAACAGGAACAUCUGGGCUGACAUUUCCUCCUUCCAGGACUUGCACAAGUCUAGGGUUCAGGAAAAGGACAGCUAGCAUCUCUGCAGACCACACACACCCUGGACAGAAACUGUUUAGACUUUUGCCAUCAUUGAGUGAUAAAAACUUU
Xiphophorus hellerii (green swordtail) is the source of this 283-nucleotide long non-coding RNA. RefSeq lists it as uncharacterized. The record is from RefSeq and is a predicted model, not a curated record. Lineage: Eukaryota; Metazoa; Chordata; Actinopteri; Cyprinodontiformes; Poeciliidae. The transcript is spliced from 3 exons.